This 433-nucleotide ribosomal RNA is filed under the name uncultured bacterium. RNAcentral's name for it is "partial 16S ribosomal RNA". It matches the Rfam family "Bacterial small subunit ribosomal RNA", at positions 29 to 507 of the family's 1533-position model. The record is from RNAcentral.
AACGAACGCUGGCGGCAUGCCUAACACAUGCAAGUCGAACGAGACCUUCGGGUCUAGUGGCGCACGGGUACGUAACGCGUGGGAACCUGCCCUUAGGUUCGGACUAACUCCCCGAAAGGGGUGCUAAUACCGGAUAAUGUCUUCGGACCAAAGAUUUAUCGCCUUUGGAUGGGCCCGCGUUGGAUUAGCUAGUUGGUAGGGUAAAAGCCUACCAAGGCGAAGAUCCAUAGCUGGGCUGAGAGGAUGAUCAGCCACACUGGGACUGAGACACGGCCCAGACUCCUACGGGAGGCAGCAGUGGGGAAUAUUGGACAAUGGGCGAAAGCCUGAUCCAGCAAUGCCGCGUGAGUGAUGAAGGCCUUAGGGUUGUAAAGCUCUUUUACCCGGGAUGAUAAUGACAGUACCGGGAGAAUAAGCUCCGGCUAACUCCGUG